CUCACUGCAAGCUCCGCCUCCCGGGUUCGCGCCAUUCUCCUUCCUCAGCCUCCCAGAAGCUGGGGCUACAGGCGCGGCCACCACGCCCGGUUAAUUUUUUGUGUGUGUGAUUUUAGUAGAGACGGGGUUUCACCGUGUUGGCCAGGAUGGUCUCGAUCUCCUGACCUUGUGAUCCACCCUCCUCGGCCUCCCAAAGUGGUGGGAUUACAGGCGUGAGCCACCAAGCACGGCAUUUUUUUUUUUUAAUCUAAAAUAAGGCCACUAGUACUACUUCCUUCCUCCCCUUUCAAUGCUAAUAGAGAAGAGAUCAACUCUCUGACUUACCUAGAAGCUGAGCUAGGAUUCGAAUCCAGUUCCCUGACUCCUCUUCUGGUUCUCCAGCAACUCAGCCACAUGGAUUCUUUCUCUUACACACAGGCUCUUUUUGGCCACAGUAAACACACUGACCUUUGAAAUAUGGAAAGAAAAGCGCUUUGAAAUAAAACUGGCACAAACAGCAGUCAGACAGCCGUCAUCUGGAGGCUGAAACAAAGAGGAGCAUAGUUUUCAAGCUGUCUUCGUAAUUACACGAAGCAGUUAUCACUCAGGCCCCAGUCUGCGCAUUGCCCCCCAAACAAACAGCCGAGGGCUGAGAGAGCACAUAGGCCACUUUGUUGCGCCAGCAUACUGGGGAGUGGAGAGCCCCCCCAGCUAAAAUCACAUGUGGCUUGGAGUGUUUUCCAGGACUUCAGGCUUUUUCCUUUCUUCCUUCCCCAUUAAACCCCUCUGCUCUUCUUGGCAAAGGCCUUCAGGUGAGUUUAUCCUCCAGAAAUGAUCACUGUGAUAUACCUGUGACUGCUGAAUGGCUAUCGUACAUCUGUAAAUGGGCAUACCAUUCCUGGUACCUUCUAACUUUGUGAACACUGUCCCCAUGCAUAAAAUAUGGAGUCCUGCAGAGCAGCUAGAGAAAGGGAGCACUCACCCUGCAGAAGUCAUUGAGAGCCCAUGUGGCAGAAAGAUGAAACCCCCUUCCAACAGCCAUGCAAGUGAGCUUGGAAGUAAACCAUUCAGCUCCUAUCAAGUCUUUGGAUUGCAGUCCUGGCUGAGAGCUUGACUGCAACUUCGUGAGCCAGAGCCACCUAGCUAAACUAUUCUUGAAUCUGUGAUCCUCAGAAACUGUGUGAGAUGAUGAAUAUUUGCUGACUUAAACUUUAAGUUUUGGAGUAAUUUGUUAUGAACAAUAGACAACUGAUACAGUAUCUAUGUCUAUAUAUUUUUUUAGUGUAAUUCACGUAAUAUAAAACACACAGAUCUGGAGUGUUAAAUUCUGUGAGCUUUGAUCAUUGUAUACAAACGUGUAAC
RNAcentral lists this long non-coding RNA (1341 nucleotides) under Papio anubis (olive baboon). RNAcentral describes it as "lncRNA (ENSPANG00000042640.1)". Lineage: Eukaryota; Metazoa; Chordata; Mammalia; Primates; Cercopithecidae. The record is from RNAcentral.